Molecule: long non-coding RNA, 673 nt
Filed under: Olea europaea subsp. europaea
Lineage: Eukaryota; Viridiplantae; Streptophyta; Magnoliopsida; Lamiales; Oleaceae
Source: RNAcentral
CACCAAUAAAGGCCAUACAUGGAGACACAUAGCAACUACCAUGUGUGUGACUUGUUUAAGAGACUAAAACACAAUCUACUUAUUUUCUUGCAAUACAACAUAGUCUUACUAAGGAAUCCUUGACAUUAUUUACAACAAUGAUCCAGUAUUGCUACUAGGAAUUGGUCAUAUAAAUAGGAAAUAAUGAUUCAUUUUAACAACUUCACAUUUGUGGAAAUAAUGAGAAAGAAAACAUUUAUCAUACAACUAAUAAUAGGCCAUAUUUUCAUAAAAAUAAUAGAGAGGGCUAUUGUUCUUAUAUGUGCCACAGACAUACACAUAUGCACCCUUCAUUACUCUUGUCUUUAAACAAAACAAUCAUCAGCCUUUCCUUGCAUAGCCAGUCUUUUGCAAUCAAUUAGUAAGUCACCAAUCAAAGAUCAGCUCCUUCAAUAUUGGUUUCAAGAAAACUUUGUAGAGCACUAUCCCUUGGCUCAUCUUGUGCUUCUUUCAAAACUGUGUUUUACUCAUUUGAUGAUGAUGUUUUCCACAGAAGAGUUGGCCGUGGUGAUGCAAAAUUGAUGGCAACAUCUUUCAUUUCUUCUCGGGCUGCCAUGGGUGCAAAUUAUCAUUUCCUGGUCAAGAAAUCGUGAUGGACUUCAUGAAUUUAUUGUCCCAAUUUAUUAUAUCUAAU